RNAcentral lists this ribosomal RNA (426 nucleotides) under uncultured bacterium. Its description in RNAcentral is "bacterial SSU rRNA". It matches the Rfam family "Bacterial small subunit ribosomal RNA", at positions 355 to 774 of the family's 1533-position model. The record is from RNAcentral.
UGGGGAAUCUUGCGCAAUGGGCGAAAGCCUGACGCAGCGACGCCGCGUGAGUGAUGAAGGCCUUCGGGUUGUAAAGCUCUGUGGGGAGAGACGAAUAAGCUUUGGCUAAUAUCCAGGGUGAUGACGGUAUCUCCUUAGCAAGCACCGGCUAACUCUGUGCCAGCAGCCGCGGUAAGACAGAGGGUGCAAACGUUGUUCGGAAUUACUGGGCGUAAAGCGCAUGUAGGCGGCCUAGCAGGUCGGAUGUGAAAGCCCUCGGCUCAACCGAGGAAGUGCAUUCGAAACCGCAAGGCUUGAGUCCCGGAGAGGGUAGUGGAAUUCUCGGUGUAGAGGUGAAAUUCGUAGAUAUCAAGAGGAACACCGGAGGCGAAGGCGGGUAACUGGGCCAACAUUGACGCUGAGACCCGAAAGCGUGGGGAUCAAACA